CAUCCACAGAGUGAGACCUCCUGUUUCUUUCUCUCCUCUCCGGUGUGAGUCGCACGUGUGCGGUAUCAACAUCAGUAGCGGCAGCUAGCAGGGAAGCUACCCGGGGAGAGUGCGUGUUCCCCCCGCUACAGCGACAGGUCGGCCCGCUGGGGAGGAGCAAGGAGGGUGAGAGGAGUGAGGAGCAGAACCGGAGCCGUGAAGCGAGAGAUGGAACCGGACUGAGCAGCUCCGGGGACGGACGAGGCCAGAGAGACGACAGGGAAACAUGCACGUGAUCUUCUGACCCCUGGACGCCGUCAGCCCUCGUCCACACUUCAUCUGUCUUCACCAUGCACGUGAUCUUCUGACCCCUGGACGCCGUCAGCCCUCGUCCACACUUCAUCUGUCUUCACCAGCCGGGAGUGGUGGACGAGGAACUGGAGUCGGCCAGCGAGGUGGUGCUAUUGUCCAUGCACCUGUUAUUACAGGUGCUCCGGGAGGGCGUGGAGCAGUUGGAGGGCGGCCCCGAGUCGGAGCCGGGGCUGCUGUGGUUGGAAAUGGGCGAGAACAGGGCGUCCUUGCGGAGACCUUUGUGCUCCAGCUCCAGCUGCAGGUGGUGGCAGAUUUCCUCCGGCAGUCGCUGGUACUCCUCCUCCAGCUCCCUCUCUAACUGGGACUUAAGCUGCAUACGGCACAUCAGGAAAACAAGUGUUACAGAGGUACAGUUAGAGAUUUCUGGAAAUUCACUUAUUUGCUCUCUUGCCAAAUAAAACCUAGUAUGGGGGCUUGAUUUUUUUUACCCUGAGGUGAAAUUUGAUCACGCAAGAAUCUGUGAGUUCUGAAGUCUCUGAAAUAACCACUUAGAAAUAAUUUCUUUAAAUGGCAAGUGCGUAGUCCUACGCUGUGUAGUUACUUAAAGAAAUUUCAAACAAACGUAUUGCAUACAGAAGUAUCACCUAUCUAUAGUAUGACUUAAUAAAGAGCUGAAUAAUUUAUGCUUCAUAUGUAAACUCAGUCUUUGUGUAUCCGUAUUUACAAAAUUAACAUCUUUUUUUGUUUUCAAAGAAAUCGAGUGCAAUUUAAAUUAAAAGCAGAUCCAAAACUAAAAUAAUUUUAGCAUAUUGUAAAGUUAAUGCAACCGAUUUAACACUGUCGGUAAAAUAUUUUUUCCGGUUCAAUGAAUGGUCGUUGUAAAGUGAGUCCAUGUGUGUGCUGCCUCACCUGUGGGAGCUCCUCGACUAUGUGUUGCAUAAUCUCCAGCUGCCUCAGCUUCAACUUCUCCUGUCUCCUGAUCUGAGCCUGCUCCAGCUGAGGGGUGAGGAAAGAGAGAUGAGAAGAGGAGGGAUAUGUUACUCAAGAGCCAUAAUGUACUAUAAAGUAGAUAAAUAGACAUUCUCAAUGACUUCCUGUGUGUGUGUGUACUUGCCCCGCGGAUUAAGGUGACAGAGUCUUGAAUAUGUUUCUUGUUGAUCUCAUUCAGUUCCCUGCAGCGUGAGGAAGAAAAGAAAGACAAAAGUGAGUUGUUUAUGCCCAAACAUCCAAUAAUCAAUACACUUCAGCAAAGUGUUUUACGUUUCAGCCUUGUCUUUGUCGCGGGUUUUGGCUUCGCAGAUGCUGUUUUGUCGCUUCCUGUCCAGGAUCUUCUGGAGCUCUUUCUUCUCCCUGCAGACAAAGUUACACACCAGCUUUACAUCCCAGAGAGGAGCAGAGCAACUCUUCAUAUUUUAUUAAAUACUAAGAC
Molecule: long non-coding RNA, 1720 nt
Organism: Hippoglossus stenolepis (Pacific halibut)
Lineage: Eukaryota; Metazoa; Chordata; Actinopteri; Pleuronectiformes; Pleuronectidae
Exons: 4
Source: RefSeq, a predicted model, not a curated record